UGCAAGUCGAACGGAAUUAUUGGAUGCAAUAUCGAAUAAUUCAGUGGCGAACGGGUGCGUAACACGUGGAUUACAUUCCGGGAAGUGGGGAAUAGCCCAGGGAAACUUGGAUUAAUGCCCCAUGUGGUCGCAAGACUAAAGGCGCAAGCCGCUUCCUGAUUGGUCCGCGGCCUAUCAGCUAGUUGGUGGGGUAAUGGCCCACCAAGGCAACGACGGGUAGCUGGUCUAAGAGGACGACCAGCCACACUGGAACUGAGACACGGUCCAGACACCUACGGGUGGCAGCAGUCGAGAAUCUUUCACAAUGGGGGCAACCCUGAUGGAGCGACGCCGCGUGGAGGAUAAGGUCUUCGGAUUGUAAACUCCUGUCAUGCGAGAACAAAGCCUCACGGCCUGAUAGUAUCGCAAGAGGAAGAGAC
RNAcentral lists this ribosomal RNA (419 nucleotides) under grassland soil clone saf3_022. RNAcentral's name for it is "bacterial SSU rRNA". It matches the Rfam family "Bacterial small subunit ribosomal RNA", at positions 56 to 494 of the family's 1533-position model. The record is from RNAcentral.